AUGGGCGCAAGCCUGAUGCAGCCAUGCCGCGUGUGUGAAGAAGGCCUUCGGGUUGUAAAGCACUUUCAGUCGUGAGGAAGGUAGUGUAGUUAAUAGCUGCAUUAUUUGACGUUAGCGACAGAAGAAGCACCGGCUAACUCCGUGCCAGCAGCCGCGGUAAUACGGAGGGUGCGAGCGUUAAUCGGAAUUACUGGGCGUAAAGCGCAUGCAGGUGGUUUGUUAAGUCAGAUGUGAAAGCCCGGGGCUCAACCUCGGAAUAGCAUUUGAAACUGGCAGACUAGAGUACUGUAGAGGGGGGUAGAAUUUCAGGUGUAGCGGUGAAAUGCGUAGAGAUCUGAAGGAAUACCGGUGGCGAAGGCGGCCCCCUGGACAGAUACUGACACUCAGAUGCGAAAGCGUGGGGAGCAAACAGGAUUAGAUACCCUGGUAGUCCACGCCGUAAACGAUGUCUACUCUGGAGGUUGUGGCCUUGAGCCGUGGCUUUCGGAGCUAACGCGUUAAGUAGACCGCCUGGG
RNAcentral lists this ribosomal RNA (515 nucleotides) under Vibrio sp. 4Bf2S288. Its description in RNAcentral is "bacterial SSU rRNA". It matches the Rfam family "Bacterial small subunit ribosomal RNA", at positions 371 to 877 of the family's 1533-position model. The record is from RNAcentral. Lineage: Bacteria; Pseudomonadati; Pseudomonadota; Gammaproteobacteria; Vibrionales; Vibrionaceae.